CUACAGGCUUAACACAUGCAAGUCGAGGGGCAUCAGGAAGAAAGCUUGCUUUCUUUGCUGGCGACCGGCGCACGGGUGAGUAACACGUAUCCAACCUGCCCUUUACUCGGGGAUAGCCUUUCGAAAGAAAGAUUAAUACCCGAUAGCAUAAUGAUUCCGCAUGGUUUCAUUAUUAAAGGAUUCCGGUAAAGGAUGGGGAUGCGUUCCAUUAGGUUGUUGGUGAGGUAACGGCCCACCAAGCCUUCGAUGGAUAGGGGUUCUGAGAGGAAGGUCCCCCACAUUGGAACUGAGACACGGUCCGAACUCCUACGGGAGGCAGCAGUGAGGAAUAUUGGUCAAUGGGCGCUAGCCUGAACCAGCCAAGUAGCGUGAAGGAUGAAGGCUCUAUGGGUCGUAAACUUCUUUUAUAUAAGAAUAAAGUGCAGUAUGUAUACUGUUUUGUAUGUAUUAUAUGAAUAAGGAUCGGCUAACUCCGUGCCAGCAGCCGCGGUAAUACGGAGGAUCCGAGCGUUAUCCGGAUUUAUUGGGUUUAAAGGGAGCGUAGGUGGACUGGUAAGUCAGUUGUGAAAGUUUGCGGCUCAACCGUAAAAUUGCAGUUGAUACUGUCAGUCUUGAGUACAGUAGAGGUGGGCGGAAUUCGUGGUGUAGCGGUGAAAUGCUUAGAUAUCACGAAGAACUCCGAUUGCGAAGGCAGCUCACUGGACUGCAACUGACACUGAUGCUCGAAAGUGUGGGUAUCAAACAGGAUUAGAUACCCUGGUAGUCCACACAGUAAACGAUGAAUACUCGCUGUUUGCGAUAUACAGUAAGCGGCCAAGCGAAAGCAUUAAGUAUUCCACCUGGGGAGUACGCCGGCAACGGUGAAACUCAAAGGAAUUGACGGGGGCCCGCACAAGCGGAGGAACAUGUGGUUUAAUUCGAUGAUACGCGAGGAACCUUACCCGGGCUUAAAUUGCAGUGGAAUGAUGUGGAAACAUGUCAGUGAGCAAUCACCGCUGUGAAGGUGCUGCAUGGUUGUCGUCAGCUCGUGCCGUGAGGUGUCGGCUUAAGUGCCAUAACGAGCGCAACCCUUAUCUUUAGUUACUAACAGGUUAUGCUGAGGACUCUAGAGAGACUGCCGUCGUAAGAUGUGAGGAAGGUGGGGAUGACGUCAAAUCAGCACGGCCCUUACGUCCGGGGCUACACACGUGUUACAAUGGGGGGUACAGAAGGCAGCUAGCGGGUGACCGUAUGCUAAUCCCAAAAGCCUCUCUCAGUUCGGAUCGAAGUCUGCAACCCGACCUCGUGAAGCUGGAUUCGCUAGUAAUCGCGCAUCAGCCAUGGCGCGGUGAAUACGUUCCCGGGCCUUGUACACACCGCCCGUCAAGCCAUGAAAGCCGGGGGUACCUGAAGUACGUAACCGCAAGGGGCGUCCUAGGGUAAAACUGGUAAUUGGGGCUAAGUCG
RNAcentral lists this ribosomal RNA (1445 nucleotides) under uncultured organism. Its description in RNAcentral is "SSU rRNA". It matches the Rfam family "Bacterial small subunit ribosomal RNA". The record is from RNAcentral.